Molecule: long non-coding RNA, 1544 nt
Filed under: Solanum tuberosum (potato)
Lineage: Eukaryota; Viridiplantae; Streptophyta; Magnoliopsida; Solanales; Solanaceae
Description: long non-coding RNA (STUB_LNC003301)
Source: RNAcentral
UCCUCUUCAAUUGCUGUUUUUUCAACUUUCUCUUCAACAACUAGCUCUUCAGAUGUAUCUUCAACCGUUGGUUCUUCAGGUUUCUCUUCAAGUGCUAGUUCUUCAGGUGUUUCUAUUGCUGCCGGUUCUUGAGGUUUCUCUUCAGUCUCUGGUUCUUGAGGUUUCUCCUCAGCUGGUACUUCAGAUUUCUCCUCAAAUGUUGGUUUCUCCUCAACUGCUGGUACAUCAGGUUUCUCUUCAAUGACUAGUUCUUCAUUUUUUAUUUCAACUGCCGGUUCUUCAGAAUUUUCCUCAAUGUCUGGAGAGUGAGCAACAUCAUUAUUGGUAUUGCAUGGAAUUUCACUGCCAGUUUUGGUGUUCGAGUCUACAAUUAGCAUAUUCUGCAAAAAGACUUUAAUGUUUCACUUAGCCUUUCAAAAGAAGAGCAUGUGAAUCACUGUACAUGCAUAACUAACAAAAUGGAUAUACUUUGUGAUAGUACUUGACCCUUACCUUUUCCAAAAGAGUUACCUUUUCAGGUUUCUCCUCUUUCAUUGCUGGCUCUUUAUGUAUCUCUUCUAAUGCUAGUUCCUUGGGUGUUUCUUCAGUUACUUGUUUAUCAGGUUUCUCCUCAAUUUUUGGUUCUUUGAUCGUCUCCUCAACUGAUGGUUCUUCAAGCUUUUCUCCCACUGUUGGUGUUUCAGGUUUCUCUUCGAUUGUCGGUUGUUCAGGUAUUUUCUCAACCGGUGGUUCUUCUGGUUUCUCCAAAACCCUUGAUUCUUCAGAUUUCUCUUCAAUAGCUGAUUCUUCAGAUAUCUCUUCAACUUCUGGUUCUUCAGUAUUUUCCUCAACUGAUGCAUAGUCAGCAAUGUCAUUGUUGGUAUUGCAUGGAAUUGCAUUGUCUGUUGUGUUCUUUGAGUUUACAAUUGGCAAAUUCUGCAAGAAAAUUUGAAGUUCCAUUUAGUCUUUCAAUAGAUGAAACAUAUUUAAAUUCAUUGCACUUAUAAAGUUAAUAUGCUGAAUAAACUUUGUGACAGUGUUAAUUGUCACCUUCUCCUGAAGAGCUUCCGUUUCAGGUUCCUCCUCUUCAAUUGCUGGUUUUUCAUCUUUCUCUUCAACAACUAGCCCUUCAGAUGUAUCUUCAACUGUUAGUUCUUCAGGUUUCCCUUCAAGUGCUAGUUCUUCAGCUGUUUCUAUAGCUGCUGGUUUUUCAGGUUUCUCUUCAGUUGCCGGUUCUUGAGGUUUCUCCUCAGCUGGUACUUCAGAUUUCUCCUCAAAUUUUGGUUCUUCAGGUUUCUCCUCAACUGCUGGUACAUCAGGUUUCUCUUCAAUGACUGGUUCUUCAUUUUUUAUUUCAACUGCCGAUUCUUCAGGAUUUUCCUCGAUGUCUGGAGAGUGAGCAACAUCAUUAUUGGUAUUGCAUGGAAUUUCACUGCCAGUUUUGGUGUUCGAGUCUACAAUUAGCAUAUCCUGCAAAAAGAAUUUAAUGUUUCACCUAGCCUUUCAAAAAAAGAUCAUGUGAAUCACAGUACAUGCAUAACUAACAAAAUGGAUAAACUUUGUUA